AGUGAACGCUGGCGGCAGGCCUAACACAUGCAAGUCGAACGGCAGCACAGUAAGAGCUUGCUCUUACGGGUGGCGAGUGGCGGACGGGUGAGGAAUACAUCGGAAUCUACUUUUUCGUGGGGGAUAACGUAGGGAAACUUACGCUAAUACCGCAUACGACCUACGGGUGAAAGCAGGGGAUCUUCGGACCUUGCGCGAUUGAAUGAGCCGAUGUCGGAUUAGCUAGUUGGCGGGGUAAAGGCCCACCAAGGCGACGAUCCGUAGCUGGUCUGAGAGGGUGAUCAGCCACACUGGAACUGAGACACGGUCCAGACUCCUACGGGAGGCAGCAGUGGGGAAUAUUGGACAAUGGGCGCAAGCCUGAUCCAGCCAUACCGCGUGGGUGAAGAAGGCCUUCGGGUUGUAAAGCCCUUUUGUUGGGAAAGAAAAGCAGCAGGUUAAUACCCCGCUGUUCUGACGGUACCCAAAGAAUAAGCACCGGCUAACUUCGUG
This 492-nucleotide ribosomal RNA is filed under the name uncultured bacterium. Its description in RNAcentral is "partial 16S ribosomal RNA". It matches the Rfam family "Bacterial small subunit ribosomal RNA", at positions 29 to 507 of the family's 1533-position model. The record is from RNAcentral.